ACAGUGGUGGUUCAGUAGUAGAAUUCUCACCUUCCAUGUGGAAGACCUGGGUUCAAUUCCCAGCCAAUGCA
This 71-nucleotide transfer RNA is filed under the name Loxodonta africana (African savanna elephant). It matches the Rfam family "tRNA". Rfam says of the family: Transfer RNA (tRNA) molecules are approximately 80 nucleotides in length. Their secondary structure includes four short double-helical elements and three loops (D, anti-codon, and T loops). Lineage: Eukaryota; Metazoa; Chordata; Mammalia; Proboscidea; Elephantidae. The record is from Rfam by way of RNAcentral.